Molecule: long non-coding RNA, 1084 nt
Filed under: Phasianus colchicus (ring-necked pheasant)
Lineage: Eukaryota; Metazoa; Chordata; Aves; Galliformes; Phasianidae
Description: lncRNA (ENSPCLG00000017686.1)
Source: RNAcentral
CAAGGGGGAGCUAUGGGGCUUGAAGGGAUGCUAUGGGGCACAAGGAUCUAUGGGACACAAGGAGGAGCUGUGGGGCACAAGGAUCUAUGGGGCACAAGGAAGAGCUAUGGGGCACAAGGAGGAACUGUGGGACUUGAAGGGAUGCUAUGGGGCACAAGGAUCUAUGGGGCAGAAGGAGGAGUUAUGGGGGUACAAAGCAGAGCUAUGGGGCACAAGGAUCUAUGGGGCACAAGGAGGAGCUGUGGGGCACAGAGAGAUGCUAUGGGGCAGAAGGAGGAGCUAUGGGGCUGUGGGGCACAAGAAGGAUCUAUGGGGCACAAGGAGGAGCUAUGGGGCUUGAAGGGAUGCUAUGGGGCACAAAGAGGAGCUAUGGGGCACAAGGAUCUAUGGGGCACAAGACGAGCUAUGGGGCACAGAGGGAUGUUGUGGGGUGCAAGGAGGAGCUAUGGGGCAGAAAGGGAUGGUAUGGGGCACAAGGGGGACCUAUGGGGCACAGAGCAGAGCUAUGGGGCACAGAGCAGAGCUAUGGGGCAGCCGUGGGGUGACACCAUCUCUCCCCCCACCCCCUCAGAUCUGACCGCGGUCUGUCACGGAAACAAGUGCUGGAAGGGCUGCGCGGCGCCCUGCAGCGGCUGCAGAUGGAUUACGUCGAUGUGGUUUUCAUUGGGCCCCGGCCUGGCCCCGCCCACACCGAGGGGCCCGACCCGACCCUGCGCCUCCUGCGGCUCGAAGGUACUGGGGGCCGCAGCCCCGUGUAGCCCCAUAGCCGCCCCAUAGCUGCCCCAUAGCCGCCCCAUAGCUGCCCCAUAGCCGCCCCAUAGCUGCCCCACAGCUGCCCCGUAGCCGCCCCAUAGCCGCCCCAUAGCUGCCCUAUAGCCGCCCCAUAGCCGCCCCAUAGCCGCCCCAUAGCCAUCCCAUAGGUGCCCCAUNNNNNNNNNNNNNNNNNNNNNNNNNCAGCUGCCCCAUAGCCGCCCCAUAGCCGCCCCAUAGCUGCCCUAUUGCCGCCCCAUUGCUGCCCUAUAGCCACCCCAUAGCUGCCCCAUAGCUGCCCUAUAGCUGCCCCAUAGCUGCCAUAUAGCUGCCC